CAGCAACUUGGGAGAAUGUUUCUUAUUUUAAUAAAUAUAUUUAUUUAUUAUAUUUAAGUAUUCAUGAAAUUUGAAUAUAAUUCUAGGUAAAAUUUUGAUAAUGACAAAGUUUUAUCUAUUUGUCUUGACCAAAUCUUGUGCCAGCAGUCGCGGCAACACAAGGAAGACAAGUGUUAUUCAUCUUAAAUCGGUUUAAGGGGUACCUAGACGGUAAAUUAGGCCAUAGUAGGAACGUUUUUACUAGAGUUAUACAUGCAUGGGGAUUGUGUCAGUAUUACCAGAGUAGAGAUGAAAUUUUUUGAUACUGUUAAGACUGGUAAAGGCGAAAGCAAACCUUUAUAUAUUAACUGACGUUGAGGGACGAAGGCUUGGGGAGCAAACAGGAUUAGAUACCCUAAUAGUCCAGGCAGAGAAUUAUGAAUGUCAUAGAUUAUAUAUAUA
RNAcentral lists this ribosomal RNA (441 nucleotides) under Bathelium feei. Its description in RNAcentral is "mitochondrial SSU rRNA". It matches the Rfam family "Bacterial small subunit ribosomal RNA", at positions 379 to 833 of the family's 1533-position model. Lineage: Eukaryota; Fungi; Ascomycota; Dothideomycetes; Trypetheliales; Trypetheliaceae. The record is from RNAcentral.